CCUACGGGAGGCAGCAGUAAGGAAUAUUGGACAAUGGACGCAAGUCUGAUCCAGCCAUGCCGCGUGAAGGAUUAAGGCCCUCUGGGUUGUAAACUUCUUUUAUAGGGGACGAAAAAAGGGCUUUCUAGCUCGACUGACGGUACCCUAUGAAUAAGCACCGGCUAACUCCGUGCCAGCAGCCGCGGUAAUACGGAGGGUGCAAGCGUUACCCGGAUUCACUGGGUUUAAAGGGUGCGUAGGCGGGCAGUUAAGUCAGUGGUGAAAUCUCUGGGCUCAACCCGGGAAACUGCCAUUGAUACUAUCUGUCUUGAAUAUUGUGGAGGUGAGCGGAAUAUGUCAUGUAGCGGUGAAAUGCUUAGAUAUGACAUAGAACACCGAUUGCGUAGGCAGCUCGCUACACAUAUAUUGACGCUGAGGCACGAAAGCGUGGGGAUCAAACAGGAUUAGAUACCCUGGUAGUCCACGCCCUAAACUAUGAUUACUCGACAUAUGCGAUACACUGUUNUGUGUNUGNGAGAAGACAUUAAGUAAUACCACCGUAGGAGUACGACCGCGAGUUAGUAACGUUAAAGUAAGUUAGACGGCGUUGAGACGCGCCGACGGACGACGACGGAGGGAGGAGG
Molecule: ribosomal RNA, 623 nt
Filed under: uncultured bacterium
Lineage: Bacteria
Description: bacterial SSU rRNA
Rfam family: Bacterial small subunit ribosomal RNA
Source: RNAcentral